This 47-nucleotide non-coding RNA is filed under the name unclassified sequences. The record is from RNAcentral.
CCUUGACUGCGAAAGCAGACAAUUGCCAAGACAAGGAGAUUGACAUG